This 253-nucleotide ribosomal RNA is filed under the name uncultured bacterium. RNAcentral's name for it is "partial 16S ribosomal RNA". It matches the Rfam family "Bacterial small subunit ribosomal RNA", at positions 524 to 776 of the family's 1533-position model. The record is from RNAcentral.
UACGAAGGGUGCAAACGUUGCUCGGAAUUAUUGGGCGUAAAGCGCACGUAGGCGGCUUUGUAAGUCGGAUGUGAAAUCCCUCGGCUUAACCAAGGAAGUGCAUCCGAAACUGCAAGGCUUGAGUACUUAAGAGGAUCGCGGAAUUCCCGGUGUAGAGGUGAAAUUCGUAGAUAUCGGGAGGAACACCAGUGGCGAAGGCGGCUCACUGGACGACUGUUGACGCUGAGGUGCGAAAGCGUGGGGAGCAAACAGG